Molecule: long non-coding RNA, 740 nt
Filed under: Musa acuminata (dwarf banana)
Lineage: Eukaryota; Viridiplantae; Streptophyta; Magnoliopsida; Zingiberales; Musaceae
Description: long non-coding RNA (MACU_LNC004215)
Source: RNAcentral
UUGUUGAUGUAGGGAGGAGGAAGAAUCGUCGAUGCACCGACGAGGCAGCAAAUCAGCAAGGAGUCACCGUUGAAUAAUAGGGAUCUCGGUGGCAGUGUUUGGGCCGCUACCGAGGGAGAUGAUGACAUCGCCGGUAAUUGCCUAGUCACGGUGGUGGUGUUUUAGCGAUGGUGGUUGGUGGUGGGCAGGCGGGUCGAGGCUAGAGUUUCCUCCCUGGUCUCCCGGUGCAAAGUACAUACGAGUGGAGGAGUCUUUGCAGGGAAAGGAUGAAGGACUGAUCAGAUCAGAUUACCGGAGAGGGAAACGAUCUACUGCAGAUUGCCGGAGGAUUGUUCAGAUCAACAAGGUGGAUGAUUGAUCAGAUUACCAAUGGAGAGGGUAACGAUCACAGAGGCGACAGAUCAGAUCAGCAUCGUCGGAGGACUAACCAGAUCUAUUGCGCAGGUCAUGAAGGGGAGAUCGUAGCGAUCGGGGAGGGCUCCGGCUCCUGCUCCUGCUUCGGCUCCGGAAGUGGGUCGCGGGGAGAGUCCAAGAGCAACGAUCGGGAGCAGCGAUCGUCUCCUGCUUCGAGGAGGGUCUGAGAGCAGCCCCCUGCUGCGACUUUGGGAGCGCGUCGAAGGAGGCAUCCGAGGAGGAAAGGCAAUAGUGGGAAAAGGGGAACGCUUCCGACUACUUGGACGGUUAUUGUGGAACGGCUCCCAACGGCUUCUGUGGAACAGAACAGAGGAGGCUGAAACAAU